GAUGAACGCUGGCGGCGUGCCUAAUACAUGCAAGUCGAGCGAACAGACGAGGAGCUUGCUCCUCUGACGUUAGCGGCGGACGGGUGAGUAACACGUGGAUAACCUACCUAUAUGACGGGGAUAACCUCGGGAAACGGGAGCUAAUACCGGAUAAUAUAUUGCACCGCAGGGUUCAAUAGUGAAAGACGGUUUUGCUGUCUCUUAUAGAUGGAUCUGCGCCGCUUUAGCUAGUUGGUAAGGUCACGGCUUACCAAGGCAACGAGGCGUAGCCGACCUGAGAGGGUGGUCGGCCACCCGGGAGCGGGAACGCGGACCAGACGACUACGGGAGGCAGCAGUAGGGAAUCUUCCGCAGUAGGCGAAAGCUUGACGGAGCAACGCCGCGUGAGUGAUGAAGGUGUUGGGAGCGGAAUACUGUGUUAUGAGGGAAGAACAAAUGUGUAAGGAACUAUGCACUGCUUGACGGUACCUAAUCAGAAAGCCACGGCUAACUACGUG
RNAcentral lists this ribosomal RNA (497 nucleotides) under uncultured bacterium. RNAcentral describes it as "partial 16S ribosomal RNA". It matches the Rfam family "Bacterial small subunit ribosomal RNA", at positions 28 to 507 of the family's 1533-position model. The record is from RNAcentral.